Molecule: ribosomal RNA, 228 nt
Filed under: uncultured bacterium
Lineage: Bacteria
Description: partial 16S ribosomal RNA
Rfam family: Bacterial small subunit ribosomal RNA
Source: RNAcentral
UGCGCAGGUGGGCUUGUAAGUCAGUGGUGAAAUACUGCCGCUUAACGGUAGAACUGCCAUUGAUACUGCGAGUCUUGAGUAUGGUUGAGGUAGGCGGAAUGUGUUGUGUAGCGGUGAAAUGCAUAGAUAUGACACAGAACGCCGAUUGCGAAGGCAGCUUACUAAGCCAUUACUGACGCUGAGGCACGAAAGCGUGGGGAGCGAACAGGAUUAGAUACCCUGGUAGUC